This 253-nucleotide ribosomal RNA is filed under the name uncultured bacterium. RNAcentral describes it as "partial 16S ribosomal RNA". It matches the Rfam family "Bacterial small subunit ribosomal RNA", at positions 524 to 776 of the family's 1533-position model. The record is from RNAcentral.
UACGGGGGGGGCAAGCGUUGUUCGGAAUUACUGGGCGUAAAGGGCUCGUAGGCGGCCAACUAAGUCAGACGUGAAAUCCCUCGGCUUAACCGGGGAACUGCGUCCGAUACUGGAUGGCUUGGAUUUGGGAGAGGGAUGCGGAAUUCCAGGUGUAGCGGUGAAAUGCGUAGAUAUCUGGAGGAACACCGGUGGCGAAGGCGGCAUCCUGGACCAAUAUUGACGCUGAGGAGCGAAAGCUAGGGGAGCAAACGGG